This 21-nucleotide unclassified non-coding RNA is filed under the name Chlamydomonas reinhardtii. RNAcentral describes it as "small RNA Cre_2775". The record is from RNAcentral. Lineage: Eukaryota; Viridiplantae; Chlorophyta; Chlorophyceae; Chlamydomonadales; Chlamydomonadaceae.
UCUGAACGCACUUGUGUGUGC